UCACUAGGACAGUGUCUAGAUAAAACCUCC
RNAcentral lists this non-coding RNA (30 nucleotides) under Mus musculus (house mouse). The record is from RNAcentral. Lineage: Eukaryota; Metazoa; Chordata; Mammalia; Rodentia; Muridae.